GACGAACGCUGGCGGCGCGCUUAACACAUGCAAGUCGAGCGAGAACCAGACCUUCGGGUCUGGGGACAGCGGCGAACGGGUGAGUAACACGUGGGUAAUCAACCCUCGGUCCUGGGAUAGCCCGGGGAAACCCGGAUUAAUACCGGAUGGCCCUUCGGAUCUUCGGUUCUGAAGGAAAAGGUAGCUUCGGCCUCCGACCGAGGACGAGCCCGCGGCGGAUUAGCUUGUUGGUGGGGUAACGGCCUACCAAGGCGGCGAUCCGUAGCUGGUCUGAGAGGACGAUCAGCCAAACUGGGACUGAGACACGGCCAAGACGUCUACGGAAGGCAACAGUGGGGAAUCUUGCGCUAAUGCGGGAAACCGUGACGCAGCGACGCCGCGUGAGGGAAGAAGGCCUUCGGGUUGUAAGUCUCUUUCAGGAGGGACGAAGCUACUCGGGUUAAUAGCCCAGAGGGUGACGGUACCUUCAGAAGAAGCCCCGGCUAACUACGUGCCAGCAGCCGCCGUAA
Molecule: ribosomal RNA, 509 nt
Filed under: uncultured bacterium
Lineage: Bacteria
Description: partial 16S ribosomal RNA
Rfam family: Bacterial small subunit ribosomal RNA
Source: RNAcentral